UACGUAGCUCAGUCAGUAGAACAUGAGACUCUUAAUAUCAAGGUCGUGGGUUCGAGCCCCACGUUGGGCAAAA
Molecule: non-coding RNA, 73 nt
Organism: Podarcis lilfordi (Lilford's wall lizard)
Lineage: Eukaryota; Metazoa; Chordata; Lepidosauria; Squamata; Lacertidae
Source: the annotation of a GenBank genome assembly